RNAcentral lists this ribosomal RNA (184 nucleotides) under uncultured bacterium. RNAcentral's name for it is "partial 16S ribosomal RNA". It matches the Rfam family "Bacterial small subunit ribosomal RNA", at positions 1319 to 1500 of the family's 1533-position model. The record is from RNAcentral.
CAUGAAGCUGGAAUCGCUAGUAAUCGCGGAUCAGAAUGCCGCGGUGAAUACGUUCCCGGGUCUUGUACACACCGCCCGUCACACCAUGGGAGUCGGAAAUGCCCGAAGUCUGUGACCCAACCUGAGAGGGAGGGAGCAGCCGAAGGCAGGUCUGAUGACUGGGGUGAAGUCGUAACAAGGUAAC